Molecule: non-coding RNA, 75 nt
Organism: Haemonchus contortus (barber pole worm)
Lineage: Eukaryota; Metazoa; Nematoda; Chromadorea; Rhabditida; Trichostrongylidae
Source: Rfam
GGUCCAAAUUUGAAGUAGGGUAGAUUAUUAGGAUCAGCCGACCAUACUAAUCUAUUCUACUUCAAGAUUGUGCCC